This 498-nucleotide long non-coding RNA is filed under the name Medicago truncatula (barrel medic). RNAcentral describes it as "lncRNA gene34220". Lineage: Eukaryota; Viridiplantae; Streptophyta; Magnoliopsida; Fabales; Fabaceae. The record is from RNAcentral.
GCAUAAGCCAAAGAAGGGCUGAACUUGUUUCCAUAAGAAAAGUGCAGAACAAAUUUCAAUCAGCUUGAUGUGCGCCCCGCAUGUUAAAAUACACACAUAAGAUUUCUCUUCCUCAUAUUAGUUCCAACGUGGCACCACAUGAUAGGCUAUAAUGCACUCAUUUUAUUCAUGUGGUCCCACCACAACAAGUGACCUUGACAUGAAGAAAGAGAGCACGUGAUUGGAGGAGGGGAAUUAGGUUUCACUUGUUUUGGAAUAUAAAAAGGAGGCAGCUGCAACAAAUACAAGGGACUUUUGGGAACCAGAGAGAAGAAGCAGCGCAUGACAAUGGGAAAGGAAGGCAACGACAAUUAAAGGGAUCCGGAUAGAGAACGACGAUGCAGGGUGACGUUGGUCUUGUCGGAAAAUUUCUAAUUUUCAUGUUGUUAGGGAUGAGAGUAUCUAGAUGACAACUUUUGUUAUAUGAUUUUCUUUUGAUUAUUGAAGAAGUUUAUUGAA